Molecule: ribosomal RNA, 497 nt
Filed under: uncultured bacterium
Lineage: Bacteria
Description: partial 16S ribosomal RNA
Rfam family: Bacterial small subunit ribosomal RNA
Source: RNAcentral
GAUGAACGCUGGCGGCGUGCCUAAUACAUGCAAGUCGAGCGAACGGACGAGAAGCUUGCUUUUCUGAUGUUAGCGGCGGACGGGUGAGUAACACGUGGAUAACCUACCUAUAAGACUGGGAUAACUUCGGGAAACCGGAGCUAAUACCGGAUAAUAUUUUGAACCGCAUGGCUCAAAAGUGAAAGACGGUCUUGCUGUCACUUAUAGAUGGAUCCGCGCUGCAUUAGCUAGUUGGUAAGGUAACGGCUUACCAAGGCAACGAUGCAUAGCCGACCUGAGAGGGUGAUCCGCCACACUGGAACUGAGACACGGUCCAGACUCCUACGGGAGGCAGCAGUAGGGAAUCUUCCGCAAUGGGCGAAAGCCUGACGGAGCAACGCCGCGUGAGUGAUGAAGGUCUUCGGAUCGUAAAACUCUGUUAUUAGGGAAGAACAUAUGUGUAAGUAACUGUGCACAUCUUGACGGUACCUAAUCAGAAAGCCACGGCUAACUACGUG